Molecule: ribosomal RNA, 484 nt
Filed under: uncultured bacterium
Lineage: Bacteria
Description: partial 16S ribosomal RNA
Rfam family: Bacterial small subunit ribosomal RNA
Source: RNAcentral
AUUGAACGCUGGCGGCAGGCCUAACACAUGCAAGUCGAGCGGAUGAAGGGAGCUUGCUCCUGGAUUCAGCGGCGGACGGGUGAGUAAUGCCUAGGAAUCUGCCUGGUAGUGGGGGAUAACGUCCGGAAACGGGCGCUAAUACCGCAUACGUCCUGAGGGAGAAAGUGGGGGAUCUUCGGACCUCACGCUAUCAGAUGAGCCUAGGUCGGAUUAGCUAGUUGGUGGGGUAAAGGCCUACCAAGGCGACGAUCCGUAACUGGUCUGAGAGGAUGAUCAGUCACACUGGAACUGAGACACGGUCCAGACUCCUACGGGAGGCAGCAGUGGGGAAUAUUGGACAAUGGGCGAAAGCCUGAUCCAGCCAUGCCGCGUGUGUGAAGAAGGUCUUCGGAUUGUAAGGCACUUUAAGUUGGGAGGAGGGGCAGUAAGUUAAUACCUUGCUGUUUUGACGUUACCAACAGAAUAAGCACCGGCUAACUUCGUG